RNAcentral lists this ribosomal RNA (449 nucleotides) under uncultured bacterium. RNAcentral's name for it is "SSU rRNA". It matches the Rfam family "Bacterial small subunit ribosomal RNA", at positions 26 to 518 of the family's 1533-position model. The record is from RNAcentral.
AGGACGAACGCUGGCGGUGUGCUUCACACAUGCAAGUCGAACGAGGUAGCAAUACCUAGUGGCGGACGGGUGAGUAACGCGUGGGAAUCUGCCUUUAGAUGGGGGAUAACGGGCCGAAAGGUCCGCUAAUACCGCAUAGGCCGCAAGGUUAAAGGAGUAAUCCGUCUAAAGAUGAGCCCGCGUCCGAUUAGCUAGUUGGUAGGGUAAAAGCCUACCAAGGCGACGAUCGGUAGCUGGUCUGAGAGGAUGAUCAGCCACAAUGGGACUGAGACACGGCCCAUACUCCUACGGGAGGCAGCAGUGGGGAAUUUUGUGCAAUGGGCGAAAGCCUGACACAGCGACACCGCGUGAGCGAAGAAGCCCUUUGGGGUGUAAAGCUCUGUCAGCUGGAACGAAAAAAUGACGGUACCAGCAGAGGAAGCAUCGGCUAACUACGUGCCAGUAGCCGC